ACAUCUCAAUACCUGUCUGCUUUUGAUGGGUAUUGGAAAUUGGGGGUUGCAGGGCUUGUAUAGCUUUGCUCUCCUUGAAUGUAUUAGUGGAGAAAAAGAAAGCUCAUUGAACUCCAUUGGUGUGAUAAAAUCUAUCAAUGCCAGGAACAAUGUCCAAGUUUCUCUGCUGUCUAAUCCAUGUCCAGUUUGGACCUCAUUUGACCAAC
Molecule: unclassified non-coding RNA, 206 nt
Filed under: uncultured Amanita
Lineage: Eukaryota; Fungi; Basidiomycota; Agaricomycetes; Agaricales; Amanitaceae
Description: sequence contains ITS2
Source: RNAcentral